GCAGGGCACGGUGGCGCAUGCCUGUAAACCCAGAGGCUCGGGAGGCUGAGGCAGGAGGAUCUGGAGUUCAAAGCCAGCCCCAGCAAUGGCGAGGCGCUAGGCAACUCAGUGAGACCCUGUCUCUA
This 125-nucleotide small RNA is filed under the name Marmota monax (woodchuck). The record is from RNAcentral. Lineage: Eukaryota; Metazoa; Chordata; Mammalia; Rodentia; Sciuridae.